This 73-nucleotide transfer RNA is filed under the name Rattus norvegicus (Norway rat). It matches the Rfam family "tRNA". Rfam says of the family: Transfer RNA (tRNA) molecules are approximately 80 nucleotides in length. Their secondary structure includes four short double-helical elements and three loops (D, anti-codon, and T loops). Lineage: Eukaryota; Metazoa; Chordata; Mammalia; Rodentia; Muridae. The record is from Rfam by way of RNAcentral.
GCCCAGCUAGCUCAGUUGGUAGAGAAUGAUGCUUUUAAUCUCAGGGUCAUGGGUUUGAGGCCCAUAUUGGGUG